This 1074-nucleotide long non-coding RNA is filed under the name Piliocolobus tephrosceles (Ugandan red Colobus). Its description in RNAcentral is "lncRNA (ENSPTEG00000018285.1)". The record is from RNAcentral. Lineage: Eukaryota; Metazoa; Chordata; Mammalia; Primates; Cercopithecidae.
UGUUAAUUUUAGUGUAGAUAUUAAAAUACCAUUUAAGAGUAAUACUAUUGAUAUUAUUGAAAAUAAAGAAUUUAUUGAAACACCUAAAGUAACAAUCAAUGAAGUAGUAAAUCAAAACGAAGCUCAGUCUUCCAAUACAAAUGUUACCCUUUCUGUUAAUAACUCUACUGUCAUUGUUAAUAAUACUACUACUGCUUCUGUUGUUGCAACUACCGCAACUAGUACCAUCGAUAAUAUUACCGAUAAUACUACAGCUACUACUACUACUACUACUACUACUUCUACUAGUACCAUCAAUAAUACAGCUACUAAUACUACUACUACCGAUACUACAAAUAUCAACAACAGAAAUAAUGACAGAAACGAAAAUAACACUAAUGUGCGUGGAAACAAUAGUGCUGUAGGUCAUAUAAUUACGAGACGCGUACGAACGACACCUAUUGCUUCUUCAUAUACUGUUGAUAAUACUGAAUCUGUAUCAAAUUGUCCAAAUAAUUUGGAUAUUUUAAAUAAUAACAACUGCGAUAAUUUGAAUGAUGAUAAUAACAAUACUAAUGUACCAAAUAUAAAUGAAUUAGAUUCUUCCAUAUUUCACGAAGUCAUGGAGAAUAAUCAAUCUUCUGUAUACGAUAAUCAAAACAAUACACCCACUAGCUCAUUAAAUGUAUAUAUAGACCCAUCGGAUGUACCUACUAUUGAACAUAACAUUGAUUCAGGCAAUGAUGAUAACUAUGACGAAAUUGUAAUGAUAGAUACUUCAAUUAAUUCACAGAAUGUUGUUUAUGAUCAUAUUGACAACGAAGUAGACGAAGAUAAUUACUUGGACGCACGUAACGAUGAUGACGAUGAAGAGGAGGACGAGGAAGAAGAUGAAGACAAUUUAGAGGAAUAUUAUAAUGAGGAUGAUGAGGAUGAAAAUAAUAACAAUAGUAGUAGUAGUAGUAGUAAUAACAAUACUAACAGUAAUAAUGAUAAUAAUAAUAAUAACGAUAAUUAUAACGAUAACUAUAGUAACGACAGUAAUAAUAACAACAGCAGCGAAGAUCAUAACGACAGUAGUAACAAUAAUGAUGA